GCGCAGCAGGCGCGAAUUUUUCACAAUGGACGAAAGUCUGAUGGAGCGACGCCGCGUGGAGGAUGAAGGUUUUCGGAUUGUAAACUCCUGUCACUGCAGAACAAGGAUACGUCAGUUAACAGCCGACGUAUUUGAUGGUAUGCGGAGAGGAAGGGACGGCUAACUCUGUGCCAGCAGCCGCGGUAAGACAGAGGUCCCGAGCGUUGUUCGGAUUCAUUGGGCGUAAAGGGUGUGUAGGAGGUCGGGUAAGUCAGGUGUGAAAUCUCAGAGCUUAACUCUGAAACUGCGCUUGAUACUGCCCGGCUAGAGGAUCGGAGGGGGUAUCGGAAUUUAUGGUGUAGCAGUGAAAUGCGUAGAUAUCAUAAGGAACACCGGUGGCGAAGGCGGAUACCUGGAAGAUUCCUGACUCUGAAACACGAAAGCCAGGGGAGCAAACGGGAUUAGAUACCCCUGUAGU
Molecule: ribosomal RNA, 457 nt
Filed under: uncultured organism
Description: bacterial SSU rRNA
Rfam family: Bacterial small subunit ribosomal RNA
Source: RNAcentral